Molecule: long non-coding RNA, 872 nt
Organism: Sitophilus oryzae (rice weevil)
Lineage: Eukaryota; Metazoa; Arthropoda; Insecta; Coleoptera; Curculionidae
Exons: 3
Source: RefSeq, a predicted model, not a curated record
GGACAUACUUCUUGACGUCUAAUCGGAAUGGUGGGAUGGGCCGUAGUCCAGCAUAUUCAGCCUAGUGUCAGUGUUAGUGAGAACUAUGAUCGUGUACGCAGCGCGUGUUGUUUGUGAAUUUAGUCGGUCUGUGUUAGAUGUCCUGCUACUAAAAAGUAUUUCCAGGUUCUGUCGAUCCUGAUGACGCGUUAAAUGGGAUUCUCCAGGGACCGUCCGUAGUCCCUGAGGGACCAGGGGCGUCCUUCUGCUCCCGUGGUGUGAUGACACUGCUUUUUACGCCGUGUAGCAGGAAUCGCCGGUAAAAGGAUGUGGAAUGGAGUAUGCAGAUGAAGAGGACAUGUAGAAGAAACAUUUCUGAAGCAUAAUUAAAACGGUCGCGUCGGUUCGUGGUUCUGGGGCUGUUCUAAGGCUUUUCACAACAUUUUAAGGUCACACUUUUUAUUUGCGUUCGUAUUUUCUUUGAUUCGAAUCAUAUAUAAUCCUUUGUAUUUCUUGUCGUUUGUAAAAAUCACAAGAAAUAUCUCUAAUUUUUUUCGAGGUGUCUAUUUCUCAAAAUAAUUUAAACCCAAUUUGACUUUUACACUGUUAUGUUUCAUUUAUUAUUAAAAAAAAUGUGUGCCAGGAAAUCGGAUCUUCAAUUAACCAUAUUCUUUUUUUCAAGUAUUUUUAUAACAAAAAUUAUUAUUUCUUAUAUUUUUAUCUAGUCUCGGUAGUGUUGAAUGGGGAGUGCUAAGGUAAUUGAGGUUCACAGCCUUUCUUAUUUUGGUGUUUUCUGUUUAGUGUUAUUUGGGAUUAGAAUCUUUCUAAAAAUCCUAAAGGAUAUCAUUUUUAUUUUCUGUAAUUUUAAACUAAAUUUAAUCAUUCUAUUCUAG